This 306-nucleotide ribosomal RNA is filed under the name uncultured Peredibacter sp. RNAcentral's name for it is "bacterial SSU rRNA". It matches the Rfam family "Bacterial small subunit ribosomal RNA", at positions 1033 to 1340 of the family's 1533-position model. Lineage: Bacteria; Pseudomonadati; Bdellovibrionota; Bacteriovoracia; Bacteriovoracales; Bacteriovoracaceae. The record is from RNAcentral.
GAGAGGUGCUGCAUGGCUGUCGUCAGCUCGUGUUGUGAAAUGUUGGGUUAAGUCUCGCAACGAGCGCAACCCCUAUCGUCUGUUGCCAGCAUUAAGUUGGGCACUCUGACGAGACUGCCUGGGUUAACCAGGAGGAAGGUGGGGACGACGUCAAGUCCUCAUGGCCCUUAUGUCCAGGGCUACACACGUAAUACAAUGGCGCGUACAAUGGGAAGCGAACUCGCGAGGGGGAGCAAAUCUCAAAAAGCGCGUCUCAGUUCGGAUUGAAGUCUGCAACUCGACUUCAUGAAGUUGGAAUCGCUAGUA